AGUUUGAUCCUGGCUCAGGACGAACGCUGGCGGCGUGCCUAAUACAUGCAAGUCGUACGCUUCUUUUUCCACCGGAGCUUGCUCCACCGGAAAAAGAAGAGUGGCGAACGGGUGAGUAACACGUGGGUAACCUGCCCAUCAGAAGGGGAUAACACUUGGAAACAGGUGCUAAUACCGUAUAACAAUCGAAACCGCAUGGUUUUGAUUUGAAAGGCGCUUUYGGGUGUCGCUGAUGGAUGGACCCGCGGUGCAUUAGCUAGUUGGUGAGGUAACGGCUCACCAAGGCYACGAUGCAUAGCCGACCUGAGAGGGUGAUCGGCCACAUUGGGACUGAGACACGGCCCAAACUCCUACGGGAGGCAGCAGUAGGGAAUCUUCGGCAAUGGACGAAAGUCUGACCGAGCAACGCCGCGUGAGUGAAGAAGGUUUUCGGAUCGUAAAACUCUGUUGUUAGAGAAGAACAAGGAUGAGAGUAACUGUUCAUCCCUUGACGGUAUCUAACCAGAAAGCCACGGCUAACUACGUGCCAGCAGCCGCGGUAAUACGUAGGUGGCAAGCGUUGUCCGGAUUUAUUGGGCGUAAAGCGAGCGCAGGCGGUUUCUUAAGUCUGAUGUGAAAGCCCCCGGCUCAACCGGGGAGGGUCAUUGGAAACUGGGAGACUUGAGUGCAGAAGAGGAGAGUGGAAUUCCAUGUGUAGCGGUGAAAUGCGUAGAUAUAUGGAGGAACACCAGUGGCGAAGGCGGCUCUCUGGUCUGUAACUGACGCUGAGGCUCGAAAGCGUGGGGAGCAAACAGGAUUAGAUACCCUGGUAGUCC
RNAcentral lists this ribosomal RNA (815 nucleotides) under Enterococcus durans. RNAcentral describes it as "bacterial SSU rRNA". It matches the Rfam family "Bacterial small subunit ribosomal RNA", at positions 10 to 796 of the family's 1533-position model. The record is from RNAcentral. Lineage: Bacteria; Bacillati; Bacillota; Bacilli; Lactobacillales; Enterococcaceae.